This is a long non-coding RNA of Ostrea edulis (European flat oyster), 399 nucleotides long. RefSeq lists it as uncharacterized. Lineage: Eukaryota; Metazoa; Mollusca; Bivalvia; Ostreida; Ostreidae. The record is from RefSeq and is a predicted model, not a curated record. The transcript has 2 exons.
CGAAGACUGAAGUAUUAGCUUUGGAGUUUUACAUUUUACACAUGACGUAGACGCUGCAUCACAAGCGGCGUGGUCAGAUCUCUUAGAGCAAAAUUGCUAUCAGGAGAAGUCAGUGUCAGACGGUGCCAGCAAAGAUUAAGAUAUAGUCCUGAUCAUAGUAUCAGAGUUCCUGAUUGUGCCUGUAUAGUUACACUUAGUAAGAGCAGCAGUACUUAGUAACACCUUAUAGCACCGGACACCCAGAAGCCCCGGAAACCGAGUAGCACCGAACUCCGAGUAGCACCUUGCACCGAGAAGCACCGAUCCUCUCCGAGUUCCGUGGAAGUUCUAGUUAGCCAGUAUUAAUUAAAUUUUGUUCAUUGUCUUUGAUGCUAUAAUAAAUAUUUAUAUUAACUGUUA